GUUUUUUUCAGCAGUACGUAAACUAAAGUUGGAAGAAGACUGAAGGUUAAUGUGGCCCUUGAGCAAGGAUAACAUGUAAAUUUGUGAACUAUUUUAUUUUUUU
This 103-nucleotide small nuclear RNA is filed under the name Callithrix jacchus (white-tufted-ear marmoset). The record is from RNAcentral. Lineage: Eukaryota; Metazoa; Chordata; Mammalia; Primates; Cebidae.